Molecule: ribosomal RNA, 163 nt
Filed under: Primula partschiana
Lineage: Eukaryota; Viridiplantae; Streptophyta; Magnoliopsida; Ericales; Primulaceae
Description: 5.8S ribosomal RNA
Rfam family: 5.8S ribosomal RNA
About the family: 5.8S ribosomal RNA (5.8S rRNA) is a component of the large subunit of the eukaryotic ribosome. It is transcribed by RNA polymerase I as part of the 45S precursor that also contains 18S and 28S rRNA. Functionally, it is thought that 5.8S rRNA may be involved in ribosome translocation.
Source: RNAcentral
AAAACGACUCUCGGCAACGGAUAUCUAGGCUCUCGCAUCGAUGAAGAACGUAGCAAAAUGCGAUACUUGGUGUGAAUUGCAGAAUCCCGUGAACCAUCGAGUUUUUGAACGCAAGUUGCGCCCGAAGCCAUUAGGCCGAGGGCGCGUCUGCCUGGGCGUCUCA